UGGCGAUCCGUGCCAGCGCUUUGCCUAGCUCCUCCGUCUGGUCCCUGAGCAUUUGUUUGUUGCUCCCGUCAAGGACGAAGGAAAUGACAGACAGCCAUCUCUCCACGAUGGGGAAUAUGCCAACUCUCAGCACCUGGCCUCCCUGGCCAGAAACAUCUGUCCCCUCCUGGACCACACCCAUUCCCCUCUCCAACUACUUAUCCAUGACCUCCACCUGACAGAGCACUACACAGGUGGAGACAACGGAGCGUUCCAGAGCUGUAAGAUGUCGGCCAGGGAGAAAGCAGACACAGUCCGCCAUUACAUCGCCAGCCUGGCCUUGAUGGACGUCAUCCUUAACAGACCCGCUACCUUGGACAGGCUGGAGAAUCAAACGGGGGACUUUGACCUGAAGAGGUUGGCUUUUAGCCAAUGGGAUGAGUAGACAGUGUGAGGUAGCCUCUUACGACGAGCUAGCAAGCUCAGGAUGGCUGUACGAGACUAAGUGUGAGGUAGCCUCUUACGACGAGCUAGCAAGCUCAGGAUGGCUGUACGAGACUAAGUGUGAGGUAGC
Molecule: long non-coding RNA, 553 nt
Organism: Coregonus clupeaformis (lake whitefish)
Lineage: Eukaryota; Metazoa; Chordata; Actinopteri; Salmoniformes; Salmonidae
Exons: 3
Source: RefSeq, a predicted model, not a curated record